CAAAAUAAAGCUUUAUAGUUCAGCAUCUCACUUACGUUGAGAAGGUUUAUCGUGCAAAUCGAUUAUAUUUUGA
This 73-nucleotide transfer RNA is filed under the name Nephrops norvegicus (Norway lobster). RNAcentral describes it as "tRNA-Val". The record is from RNAcentral. Lineage: Eukaryota; Metazoa; Arthropoda; Malacostraca; Decapoda; Nephropidae.